RNAcentral lists this ribosomal RNA (493 nucleotides) under uncultured bacterium. RNAcentral's name for it is "bacterial SSU rRNA". It matches the Rfam family "Bacterial small subunit ribosomal RNA", at positions 15 to 507 of the family's 1533-position model. The record is from RNAcentral.
GAUCCUGGCUCAGAUUGAACGCUGGCGGCAUGCUUUACACAUGCAAGUCGAACGGUAGAGGGGGCAACCCCUCGAGAGUGGCGAACGGGUGAGUAAUACAUCGGAACGUGCCCUGUAGUGGGGGAUAACUACUCGAAAGAGUGGCUAAUACCGCAUACAACCUGAGGGUAAAAGUGGGGGACCGCAAGGCCUCACGCUAUAGGAGCGGCCGAUGGAAGAUUAGGUAGUUGGUAGGGUAAAAGCCCACCAAGCCGACGAUCUGUAGCUGGUCUGAGAGGACGACCAGCCACACUGGGACUGAGACACGGCCCAGACUCCUACGGGAGGCAGCAGUGGGGAAUUUUGGACAAUGGGCGCAAGCCUGAUCCAGCCAUGCCGCGUGUGUGAAGAAGGCCUUCGGGUUGUAAAGCACUUUCAGCGAGGAGGAAGGAGUUGUAGUUAAUAGCUGCAACUUUUGACGUUACUCGCAGAAGAAGCACCGGCUAACUCUGUG